AAAACAUUUUUUUUUGAUUAAAAUUUAAAAUAAGUUCUGCUCAAUGAUUAAAUUAAAUAGCUGCAGUAAUUUAACUGUACAAAGGUAGCAUAAUAAAUUGUUAUUUAAAUGAUAACUUGUAUGAAGGAAUAAAUGAAAUAUAAACUUUAUUUAAAUAAUAAAUUGAAUUUUAUUUUUAAGUAAAAAAGCUUAAAUUUUUUAUUGGGACGAGAAGACCCUAUAGAAUUUUAUAAUUAAAGUAAAUUAAUUUAUUUUAAUUAUUUUUUUGGGGAGAAAAUAAAAAUUAAAUUACUUUUAAUAAUAAUUAAACAUAUAUAAAUGUUAUUUAAAGAUUUUAAAUAAAUUAAAUUAAAGAUUAAAUUACCUUAGGGAUAACAGUGUAAUAUUUUUUUAUAGUUCUUAUAGAAAAAAAUGUUU
RNAcentral lists this ribosomal RNA (417 nucleotides) under Chlorepyris sp. Its description in RNAcentral is "partial large subunit ribosomal RNA". Lineage: Eukaryota; Metazoa; Arthropoda; Insecta; Hymenoptera; Bethylidae. The record is from RNAcentral.